GACGAACGCUGGCGGCGUGCUUAACACAUGCAGGUCGAACGGAAAGGCCCUGCUUUUGUGGGGUGCUCGAGUGGCGAACGGGUGAGUAACACGUGAGUAACCUGCCCUUGACUUUGGGAUAACUUCAGGAAACUGGGGCUAAUACCGGAUAGGAGCUCCUGCUGCAUGGUGGGGGUUGGAAAGUUUCGGCGGUUGGGGAUGGACUCGCGGCUUAUCAGCUUGUUGGUGGGGUAGUGGCUUACCAAGGCUUUGACGGGUAGCCGGCCUGAGAGGGUGACCGGCCACAUUGGGCCUGCGAUACGGCCCAGACUCCUACGGGAGGCAGCAGUGGGGAAUAUUGCACAAUGGGCGGAAGCCUGAUGCAGCAACGCCGCGUGCGGGAUGACGGCCUUCGGGUUGUAAACCGUUUUCGCCUGUGACGAAGCGUGAGUGACGGUAAUGGGUAAAGAAGCACCGGCUAACUACGUG
This 468-nucleotide ribosomal RNA is filed under the name uncultured bacterium. RNAcentral describes it as "partial 16S ribosomal RNA". It matches the Rfam family "Bacterial small subunit ribosomal RNA", at positions 28 to 507 of the family's 1533-position model. The record is from RNAcentral.